CACAAAUGUAGAACUGUGUACGAAAAGUUUUAAAUUUUGAGUUUAUCAUGACUGUGAAUGUACGAAUCGUCUUUUUCGUGUGUGAAUUGCUUUGAAUUCGUGUGUGUGUUUUUUGAGACUUUGGUGGCAGCGCGCUUCUCCAACGUGGGUCACUCGUACGCUUUAGCCAAUCAGAUGCAAGCUUACCAUUCAACCAAUCAUAACCCGCCAAGAGCGCAGCACUCAAGGAGCUCAGCAUUGCACACCUUUUGCGCAAUCAACUGAAAUGAAGCUUCACGUCAUCAACCAAGCAUGGCGAAUGAAGUGCGGGAUAUACGUGACUCUCGUCGUGUAAUACUAUCACAGAGCAGUUGUUCUUGUGUUGCUGGGACAGCACAUUGUUGCACUACUCAGAGCUUGGCAUCAGUGAAGUUCACAGCUGUACUGAAACGGUUGAGAGCUGACACAGACCUAGAACAAUGAGGUUCUGUCUGCAAGACCCAAAGAAAGGAAGCUUGCUGAUGUAUUAAGGAGUACCUUUUAAAAGAGUGUCACCUGUAAGCUGCCUGACCUCACAGUCCUCCAAGUAGCAGAGGCGUUUAAGGACCUUGCCAGUGCUGUAGCCCCUUCGGUCACCACUAUCAGGAUGUCACAUGUCAAUUCUUUGGUGGAUUUUGGCUUUGGCAGAGUUUAGUAUGGAAGUGUGCUGUCAUACCAGCAGCAACAACACACAACCUUAAUUGUUAUCAAGAUGCCCCAUAACUACAACCUCUGCAACUAUUUGGCUACAGCCUUGACACAUCUGUUUGCUUGAUAGUUAUUUAUAUUUACAUGUUUACAUUUCUGAAGUUAAGGUAGUUAUUUACAGUAUAUUACAUACAUACUUUACUGCAAUGUAAAUGUUCGAAGUAAUUUAGUUUUACAUUCAUGCAGUGCAGGCAACACUGUAUGAAAGUUAUUUACAGUAUAUUUAAAUACAUUACUGCAUUGUAAAUGUUCAAAGCCACAUGUUUACAUUCCUGCAGUGCAUGCAACACUGAAUAAAAGUUACUUACAGUAUAUUUACAUUCAUUACUGCAUUGCAAAUGUUCAAGUCAUUUAUAUUUACAUGUUUAUAUUCCUGCAGUGCAUGCAACACUGAAUAAAAGUUAUUUACAGUAUAUUUAAAUACAUUACUGCAUUGCAAAUGUGUAAAGUCAUUUAUAUUUACAUGUUUACAUUCAUACAGUGCAGGCAACCCUGUAUUAAAGUUAUUUACAGUAUAUUUAAAUACAUUACUGCAUUGC
Non-coding RNA from Misgurnus anguillicaudatus (oriental weatherfish), 1265 nucleotides. Lineage: Eukaryota; Metazoa; Chordata; Actinopteri; Cypriniformes; Cobitidae. The record is from RefSeq and is a predicted model, not a curated record.